CCUACGGGAGGCAGCAGUGGGGAAUUUUGGACAAUGGGCGCAAGCCUGAUCCAGCAAUGCCGCGUGAGUGAAGAAGGCCUUCGGGUUGUAAAGCUCUUUUGUCAGGCAAGAAACGGUGGGGGCUAAUAUCCCCUGCUAAUGACGGUACCUGAAGAAUAAGCACCGGCUAACUACGUGCCAGCAGCCGCGGUAAUACGUAGGGUGCAAGCGUUAAUCGGAAUUACUGGGCGUAAAGCGUGCGCAGGCGGUUUUGUAAGUCUGUCGUGAAAUCCCCGGGCUCAACCUGGGAAUUGCGAUGGAGACUGCGAGGCUAGAAUCUGGCAGAGAGGGGUAGAAUUCCACGUGUAGCAGUGAAAUGCGUAGAUAUGUGGAGGAACACCGAUGGCGAAGGCAGCCCCCUGGGUCAAGAUUGACGCUCAUGCACGAAAGCGUGGGGAGCAAACAGGAUU
RNAcentral lists this ribosomal RNA (449 nucleotides) under uncultured bacterium. Its description in RNAcentral is "bacterial SSU rRNA". It matches the Rfam family "Bacterial small subunit ribosomal RNA", at positions 338 to 779 of the family's 1533-position model. The record is from RNAcentral.